This 4299-nucleotide unclassified non-coding RNA is filed under the name Mizuhopecten yessoensis (Yesso scallop). Its description in RNAcentral is "uncharacterized LOC110467418, transcript variant X1". The record is from RNAcentral. Lineage: Eukaryota; Metazoa; Mollusca; Bivalvia; Pectinida; Pectinidae.
UCAUAACAUACCGUGUAUUAUUGGUGGGUUCGCCGGUAGACAGCGUAGUAGCUAUAUAGGUCAACGGUGUACGUAAACAUUGCAAGCACUUUUAACUAAAACAACUAGCCUUAUACUUAUCGGCCAUGCCACACGAUAACGUGUUAUAAUGAUUUUUGUGGAUUAUUUUGAGACAGUCGGAUUCCCAGUUUGUCUCAAUCUGUACAAGUCAGGGGAAUAUCUACAAACAGGAUUUCCAGAGCUCGUGAGUGACGUCAGGCUGUUGGCUGGAAUUAGGAACACGCACUGAGGACACCACCUUUAGAUCAAUCUGGUACAAACAUCCUCUCUUUGUUGACAAAUGCCAGGUAGUUUCCGCACGAGACAGUAACCAUUACGACAAUGGCCAAACCGUCUACCUACGUUAAUGUCGCACCGCCACCACCACCCCCGGACCGAAACAGAAAGCGGUCUAUUUGUCAAUCUUGCAAUUGUCCAAAUUGUCAUGAUAUGGAAUCUUGCACUGGCACAGUGAUAAAUGGUGGUUAUCUCAGGACUGUCGCCGAUAGACCCCCUGUUCCAUGUCGACAACGACAAUUUACAGAUGACUUUUCUCCAGAAGAAUAUUUUAAAGAAUGUGAUAAACCAAAACCUGAUACAAGGCGAAUGAAGGAACUUGACAUCCCCUUACCAUUGCCAUCGGCACAAAGCAAUGAUUCUGUGUUUGAUUCCCUUCCCUCGUCAAAUCCCCCUGUUCCAUUCUUACAUGAGUUUCACACACAUAUUCCACCUAAACUUUCGAUUCACGAUCGUUUCAUUCAACGUCACCCCUCGCCACAACCACCCGCCCCUUCACAGAUAAGACCUCACCGGAAACCCUCUGAUGAGUUACCGAAUCCUAAUGUUUUAAACCAACUUCUUAUGAACGAACAAACAGUCGAAGUGCCAAGACAGAAAGAAAAAGGACACGAUCAGUUACCACAAUUUGAAUUAACUUUACCCAGGAAAAAGAGUGAACGAAGAAAAACCGGCAGACGUCAACCUGCUAAGGUACCUUUGUGGAUGAAAUUGGGAACAAUAUUCGCUUUUAUUCCCUUCUUUGGAUUAUCAUAUAUGGUCUUUAAAACUGGUAAAGACAUUUUCUUUGUACAUAAUCGACAUUUACGUCCAGCCCAACACAGCUGGAAUUAUUCAGAACCAGACGAAUCCAAGUUGGAUACAACGGUUUGUUUUUCAUGUGACUUGGUUGAUGAAUUCAGGAGUCGCCAUCGGGGACAACAAUUAGGUGACCUCAAGAUAUACGGCUUCAAAUCCUCUGACAAAAGACGGCAUUGUUGUAUGGAUCAGCUUGGACACACGAAAUGGAUGGUCAACAUGAUGAAAACGAGAGAAAUAUUAGGGCGACAAGAAGCGAGAAAUCCCGAUUCAGAUGGAGUGUGUUCAGCUAAGUCCACUCAUGUGCCCGUGUAUAACAGGUGUUCACAAGGUGAGGCGAGUUUAAAACUGGACAAAGAGAAUACCACACCGAUGUGCAAAGGAGCGGGGAUAAAAGUGACUAAUGAUUCUUUGCUGGCAGAAGAGGAAGGGCUGUAUAUUGUAUAUAUGACUUUGACGGUCACACUUUCUCCAAAAACAGAUUGCGGAAAAAAGAUUGAAAGUAAAGUAUUAAGAGCCCAUCUUCACUGCAAUAAGUCUGCGAAGAAAAGGUGUAUUGAGAUGGAAACCUACAAUGUAACCAGAACAAAUACGGACUCUACAUACUUUCAACAUUCGUUCAAUUUAUACACAAUGAAAAAUUUUACGAGGGGAGAACAGUUUUUUCCAUCUUUAUCCCAUCCGUCGUAUCUGUACACGGCGAAAUAUGGAAACUAUAUCGGCGUGGUUCAACUUUAGUGUGUCAAAUCAUGGACUGGAUGACUGGGAAUGUGGUCGAACACACAAAGUGCUGCAUACUGAGUGAUCAGACAAACUGCUAUUUAAAUGUUCCCUAAAUGGUAUGCCCCAUUUAUGAAUACACACUGUAUUUGAAAUAAUGGCUCCCAGGGUGGCGUUCAAAUAGUAGCGUUGUAGACACAAUGCCAAGAUGGAUCUGAAACUGUCUGUGACCAUGCCAAUCUGAGAUUAUGAUGAGAUAUAUGGUCUAUUGAAUAGAAGAUGAUACAUCUAUUUUGAUUUCUGAUAGAUGGAUGUUAUCAUUUAAGUAACACAUACAAUAUGCAGGGUUAUACGCAUUGACUAAACACAUGUUGUAUGACAUAUUUACAAACGUAUGUAGGAACAUUCAUAGUAAGGUUUUUUGUCGUACAUGAGUCAGAUUCUUACUAUAUGUUCGAUAAGUUUACAUAAAGACAAUUAACUUUUGACAUAUAAUUUCCUGACGCAAUAAAUUAUGGAUCAUUGUGAUAUAACCAUUCUGUGCCAAUAUUGAUAUAUUCUGUAUUAUCAUUUUACAUCCCAUACUAGAGUCUACCAUGUUGUAUAUACAUUGUAUAUGGCACAAACAGUUUUGCCAAACGCAGGUUUGUCGUUUUAAAGCUGAUAAUAUUGAUUUGUAUUUUCAUAUACAAUAAACAUAAAGUACCAAAAUCAUGUUCCUUAACUAAGGUGUGAUACCACGAUCGAAUUCUGGUCAUCCCAAUUUUGGUUUACAGAAAAAUGUCGUUUCUGUGUCCUUAGAUAAAACAACAAGAGUACAAAUUAGAAUGCAAAAGAAUAGGUCUUUUAACAAUUUGAAUUAUAUAAGUAUCAACAACGAAGGCAGAACGAGGUUGAUUUUGAAUAUGAAUUUUUUGGCAACAAUAAAAAUUAAUGGUUCAUUUAGCGAUGUGAAUCCUACACAAAUAUGCAUAAAUGAACAAUUACAUUGUACAUUGUAAUUUGUACAAAUUAUGUCUGGAUUCAGCUUGUUGACUUCGUCUCAUACAGAUGGCUAUAACAACAAAAUGGCAAUUAUCUGAAUACCAAGUUUAAAAAAUCAGAUAAUAUACUUCUUGAAUAUUUGCUCAAUUGCAUUUUAUUAAUUUGGAAACCCAAACUUUCAUUCCAAAAGAACAUGCAGAUAUAAUAAGUAAAUAUCUGUGAAACACUGCAAACAAAAUUAUAACGUGCCAGGGACCACCACUUCUGUUGACUGUGAGUGACUUAACACGAACGAUAUCGAUUUUUUUUUUACAGUAUGAUCAAUACGUUAGAUAGAAUUCAGUUGUGAAGAUCUGAAGUACAUAAUGUUUAUAAAUAUUGCAUAUGUUUUUGUAUUAUACAUGUCACAUCAAUAAAACAUCUUGGUUACUGUUGAUGUAUAGUUUAUUCUAAAUAUGAUAAUGUUUAGUCUUUCUGUAUAAGUAAAACUGCCGUAAUGUCUUCCCAAAAUCACUUAACGUUAUACCCUGCUAAAUUACACUUUAAGCCUAUUCCAUUUCUUUUUGAAACACAAAUUUUAUUAAGUUUUACAACAAUACGAAACAAGUAAUUAUAACCUUUGAUUGGCCCGGAUGUCAGGGCUCGGGGUUUUUCAUCGAGAAGGGAGUAUGGAUGUCUUUUAAUGCCAUACUGUACAAUUUUUUGAUAUUACUCAAUUGAUAGGUCAUACCUAAGUUGUCUGUGAUACUGUGUCAAGUUAACACUUUGUAAGUCUUCCUAGGGUACACUAUUGUAUUUUAUUACACUUUCAGUAAGUCUUCCUGAGGUACACUAUUGUAUUUUAGUACACUUUGUACGUCUUCCUAAGGUACACUAUUGUAUUUUAGUACACUUUGUACGUCUUCCUAAGGUACACUAUUGUAUUUUAGUACACCUUCAGUAAGUCUACCUAAAGUACACUAUUGUAUUUUAGUACACUUUGUACGUCUUCCUAAGGUACGCUAUUGUAUUUUAGUACACUGUCAGUAAGUCUUCCUAAGGUACAUUUUGUAUUUUAGUUCACUGUAAGAAAGUCUUUCUGAUGAAAAACUUUUGACAAGCCUUCCUGAGUUCACUUUUACCUAAACUACACUAUAAGUAAGUUUUCUUAAAGUUCACAUUCAGUAGGUCUUAAAUGUUGGUAAGUCUCUCUAGAUACAAGUAUUAACUUAACACUUGGAUCGGUAUAUCAUCUUUAAGUACUGUAUCGUUAUUUUGACUGAUUUUAUUUCUAAGAGAGUUGCGUACACAUUAUACAUUACCAUGUAUUGUCUUUUCAACAGUUACCUGGUAUGGGUAUAUAUACAGUGUUGUUACGGUAAAACAUGGACAGUGCAUAUUCACGGCUGUUUAUUGAUGAAUCGUAUUAUAUUGUUAUAUGUUUUGAUAUAAAAUAAACCAAACUUUUAACACGUCUCUUAA